AGAAAUCUCUUAAAAAAAGCUCUCCCCUUCCCAGCUUUCCGGCCAAGGCCCGAUCAUCGGCUGGUCAUCAGCCACCGCGCCGGCCGCCGAUCUCCGACGCUGGCACCGCCGUCUGUAGUUGCCGGAAAAGGGGAAAAUACCCUAUUUGGCCCUUUAGACUCCCCUAAGCCCAAAUCUGGGUCUAAAUCCGUCAAAGAAUCAACUGAAAAUGCAAAAAAAGUCCCGGAACCUUUCGGUUUCUUGCCACCGAACCUCGGGGGUGGAUCCCUCAACCGUCCACGGCAGUUUUGACUCGAACGAAGGUAGUUUCUUUCCUUUUUAUUCGUAUAUUAUUCGUUUAUAAAAAUAUAUUAUAUAAAAAACAAUAAAAAAUAAAUAAAUAUGGUAAAUAUCAACCUUUUCGAUCGAUUUGCUCUCUGUAUUGGAACUCUAUUUUUUGCUAAAAAUAAUUACCUUUUUCUCUUAUUGAUUUUCCAAUCCUGGUUACAGUGUAUUCGAUGGCCUUUUAUAGCCAUAAUAAUAAUAAUAAAGAAAGAAAGAAAUCUGUUGAUAUCUUUGAUUUGCAAAUCCUUGAUUUUUCUUUCCAUAUGCUGUUAGUUUCUUUCUUGAUACGCAGGUAUGAAGAUCGGGAAUGAUUCGGUGGGCAUGGUUGCGGCGCAAGUGUUUCCUUAGAAACCUUAGGGUUUCUGUAAAUGUCUUGGGCCAUUGUAAUUUGGGCCACUAUUCUUGUAUUUUGGGUUUGGGUUUUGGGCCCAAUUUAUUGUAAAAGGACUGUUUAUUUGCCUCAUGUAGGCCGGGCAAAAAUUAGGCAUUACACUCAUGUUGUUUUCAUGGACUGAUAAACCGAAUCUUUUAAUUGGACUUGGAUCAGUUUAUUGUGGUAUUUAUAGUUGAUAUAUUAGUGUACUCUAAAGUUAGCAG
Molecule: long non-coding RNA, 921 nt
Filed under: Gossypium raimondii (Peruvian cotton)
Lineage: Eukaryota; Viridiplantae; Streptophyta; Magnoliopsida; Malvales; Malvaceae
Description: long non-coding RNA (GRAI_LNC007817)
Source: RNAcentral